UUUGUUAUGUAUAAUAAAUAAAACUAAAAAAAUAAUUUUAAUUAGGGGUCAAUAAAAAUAAUAAUUUUUAACUUAGUUUUACUAAUUAACAAUAAUAUUUGAAUAUAUUAAAGAUCCUUAAUAAAGAUUAUAAGAUUAAGUUACUUUAGGGAUAACAGCGUAAUUUUUUUAAGAGUCCAUAUCGAAAAAAAGUUUAACGACCUCGAUGUUGAUUAAAUCCCUUAUGGUGCAGAAGUUAUAAAGGAAAGUCUGUUCGACUUUUAAUAUUUUACAUGAUUUGAGUUCAGACCGGCGUAAGCCAGGUUGGUUCUAUCU
This 315-nucleotide ribosomal RNA is filed under the name Eumunida picta. Its description in RNAcentral is "partial 16S ribosomal RNA". The stretch from base 151 to 305 matches the Rfam family "Bacterial large subunit ribosomal RNA", at positions 2473 to 2632 of the family's 2925-position model. The record is from RNAcentral. Lineage: Eukaryota; Metazoa; Arthropoda; Malacostraca; Decapoda; Chirostylidae.